CAAAUCUUUUGCGAGUGUUGGAGCUUGAGCGUAGCAUCUCACAACAUUUUGCAACAUUUACACAAGGUCGAAAGGCCUUGAUGUUCACGCUUGUAUGUUUGACAGAGUUAGUUGAGACAAUAACAAAAGA
Molecule: unclassified non-coding RNA, 130 nt
Filed under: uncultured Rozellomycota
Lineage: Eukaryota; Fungi; Rozellomycota
Description: uncultured Cryptomycota sequence contains ITS1
Source: RNAcentral